CCUACGGGCGGCAGCAGUGAGGAAUAUUGGUCAAUGGGCGAGAGCCUGAACCAGCCAAGUCGCGUGAGGGAGUACUGCCCUAUGGGUUGUAAACCUCUUUUGUCGGGGAGCAAAAGCCGGACGUGUCCGGCUGUGAGAGUACCCGAAGAAAAAGCAUCGGCUAACUCCGUGCCAGCAGCCGCGGUAAUACGGGGGAUGCGAGCCGUAUCCGGAUUUAUUGGGUUUAAAGGGUGCGCAGGCGGAUUUUUAAGUCAACGGGAAAAUCGUGGGGCUAAACCCCAUCCAGCCGUUGAAACUGGGGAUCUAGAGUGUGCGAGAGGUAUGCGGAAUGCGUGGUGUAGCGGUGAAAUGCAUAGAUAUCACGCAGAACCCCGAUUGCGAAGGCAGCAUACCGGUGCACAACUGACGCUCAGGCACGAAAGCGUGGGUAUCGAACAGGAUUAGAUACCCUGGUAGUC
This 458-nucleotide ribosomal RNA is filed under the name uncultured bacterium. Its description in RNAcentral is "partial 16S ribosomal RNA". It matches the Rfam family "Bacterial small subunit ribosomal RNA", at positions 338 to 795 of the family's 1533-position model. The record is from RNAcentral.